GGUAGCCGGCCUGAGAGGGCGACCGGCCACACUGGGACUGAGACACGGCCCAGACUCCUACGGGAGGCAGCAGUGGGGAAUAUUGCACAAUGGGCGAAAGCCUGAUGCAGCGACGCCGCGUGAGGGAUGACGGCCUUCGGGUUGUAAACCUCUUUCAGCAGGGAAGAAGCGCAAGUGACGGUACCUGCAGAAGAAGCACCGGCUAACUACGUGCCAGCAGCCGCGGUAAUACGUAGGGUGCGAGCGUUGUCCGGAUUUAUUGGGCGUAAAGAGCUCGUAGGCGGCUUGUCGCGUCGGAUGUGAAAGCCCGGGGCUUAACUCCGGGUCUGCAUUCGAUACGGGCAGGCUAGAGUGUGGUAGGGGAGAUCGGAAUUCCUGGUGUAGCGGUGAAAUGCGCAGAUAUCAGGAGGAACACCGGUGGCGAAGGCGGAUCUCUGGGCCAUUACUGACGCUGAGGAGCGAAAGCGUGGGGAGCGAACAGGAUUAGAUACCCUGGUAGUCCACGCCGUAAACGUUGGGAACUAGGUGUGGGUCACAUUCCACGUGGUCCGCGCCGCAGCUAACGCAUUAAGUUCCCCGCCU
Molecule: ribosomal RNA, 582 nt
Filed under: Streptacidiphilus sp. 15G-1
Lineage: Bacteria; Bacillati; Actinomycetota; Actinomycetes; Kitasatosporales; Streptomycetaceae
Description: bacterial SSU rRNA
Rfam family: Bacterial small subunit ribosomal RNA
Source: RNAcentral